UAAUCACGACGAACAAGCUCAACUUCUUCCGGCUUUAUUUUGUUGUGAAUGUCCUGAAGUAUAAUCAGGAAGGGAAGGUGAAUAAUUAGUUUUGAUACAUUCUAAUUCUAGGACAGGGCAUGUUUCAAGCAUUAAUAAUGAAAUCCACUUACUUGGAUUCCAGCUUCACGUGUUCGAACAUCUCGACAUUUCAAGCCCAAAUCUUCCAUCCGAGCCAAUGCUAGCUCCCGCAGAUUCCCUUUCUCAACCCCAGAAGUUACCAGAGGCAUAGGGAUAUCACGCUGAACUCUAUAGACACGUGUCCAUGGGGGAACCAUUGCCAAGAUCCUAGCUACAAUGUCAACAAGCUGCUCAGGUGGAUAAUUCCUAUACCUGCAAGUAGUGUAACCCUUCAAAAGGCAGUUUUAAACCAAAGGUAUCAUAAAACCGUAGAGCUUGAAUACCCGUGCUUAGAAUACUGCUCAUACAGUAAGCAAGAGAUUUUCCUUUUCCUUUUCCUUCUUCAUAUUGCUUUCACAAAAACAGUUUGCUUGGAAUGAAGAUGAAACUUCGGACACUGGCACUCUUAAUACAAAAAGGAAAUUCUCAACAGUUCAAAACCAUGGUAGAAAGGAGAAGACGAUGAAAUAGUCAACUAGUACACUAGUGCUGACC
This 654-nucleotide long non-coding RNA is filed under the name Coffea arabica (coffee). RNAcentral's name for it is "long non-coding RNA (CARA_LNC002785)". The record is from RNAcentral. Lineage: Eukaryota; Viridiplantae; Streptophyta; Magnoliopsida; Gentianales; Rubiaceae.